UACAGAGGGUGCAAGCGUUGUUCGGAAUUAUUGGGCGUAAAGCGCGUGUAGGCGGCUUUGCAAGUCGGGUGUGAAAGCCCUCGGCUCAACCGAGGAAGUGCGCCCGAAACUGCAGAGCUUGAGUACCGGAGAGGAUGGCGGAAUUCCCCAAGUAGAGGUGAAAUUCGUAGAUAUGGGGAGGAACACCGGUGGCGAAGGCGGCCAUCUGGACGGAUACUGACGCUGAGACGCGAAAGCGUGGGGGGCAAACAGG
This 253-nucleotide ribosomal RNA is filed under the name uncultured bacterium. Its description in RNAcentral is "partial 16S ribosomal RNA". It matches the Rfam family "Bacterial small subunit ribosomal RNA", at positions 524 to 776 of the family's 1533-position model. The record is from RNAcentral.